Molecule: ribosomal RNA, 441 nt
Filed under: uncultured bacterium
Lineage: Bacteria
Description: partial 16S ribosomal RNA
Rfam family: Bacterial small subunit ribosomal RNA
Source: RNAcentral
CCUACGGGCGGCAGCAGUCGAGAAUCAUUCACAAUGGGGGAAACCCUGAUGCAGCAACGCCGCGUGAAGGACGACGGUUUUCGGAUUGUAAACUUCUGUUCUUAGUGAAGAAUAUUGACGGUAGGUAAGGAGCAAGCCACGGCGAUCUACGUGCAAGCAGCCAUGGCAAUAGGUAGGUGGCAAGCGUUGUCCGGAAUUACUGGGUGUAAAUGGUGCGCAGGCGGGAAGCCAAGUCAUCUGUGAAAACUACGGGCGUAACUUGCAGACUGCAGUGGAGACUGGUUAUCUUGAGUGAAGUAGAGGUAGGCGGAAUUCCGGGUGUAGCGGUGAAAUGCGUAGAUAUUCGGAGGAACACCGGUGGCGAAGGCAGCCAACUGGGCUUUAACUGACGCUGAGGCUCGAAAGUGUGGGGAGCAAACAGGAUUAGAUACCCCAGUAGUC